GCAGAGAGAGGUGUCCUGUGUUUGUUCCCAGUCUUCCUUCACUCACCUGCACCUGCUCCUGCCCUGCUUCGGCCAACAUGUUCUAUGCAGGCAGCAGAGUUCAUAUCAAGGGCCCAUGUUUUAACUGAAUAUAAUGAAUUUUUUUUUUCACCUUGGAAGAGUCUUAGAGGCAAGAUUAGAAUGUUCAUCUAAAAGGAGUGCAAAUUUCUUCAACCAUUCCCACGGAGGAAGGUCUACUCUGUGAAAAGGAAAUGAUCAUACAUAAUUCAUGCAUUUGCUGUACGGAUUUAAUUAAAUGAUAGACAAAAAGUAGAGUGGCACAAGUCAAACUCAAAAAAUAGUAACAACAAAAUCAAUUUCAAAAUAAGCAACAGCAAUAAAUGUUACCUACUAUUUUACGAAUGAAAAUACUGAGACCAAUAAAGGCAUUAUAGUAUACAUAGCCUUGGAAUCAGAAGACCAAGAACAUACAAGAGAACAUAGCCUUGGAAUCAGAAGACCAAGAAACAAUUUAACUCUGCCCCUCUAGAGCUCUGAGAACUUGGGCAAGCCUUUUACCCUCUUGAAUUUUUGCCACCUUCAAUGAGAAAGACUGAAACAAAAAACUCAGAAGAAAGAAAGAGACUGAGAUAGCAAAUAUGACAAACUGUUAAAAAUUCAUGAAUCUGUUAUGGAAUACUAUGCAGCCAUAAAAAAGGAUGAGUUCCUGUCCUUUGCAAGGACGUGUAUGAAGCUGGAAACCAUCAUUCUGAGCAAACUAAAACAGGAACAGAAAACCAAACACCACAUGUUCUCACUCAUAAGUGGGAGUUGAACAAUGAGAACACAUGGACACGGCGGGGUGGUGGGAACAUCACACACCGGGGCCUGUCAGAGGGGAGGGGGCUAGGGGAGAGAUAGCAUUAGGAGAAAUACCUAAUGUAGAUGAUGGGUUGAUGGGUGCAGCAAACCACCAUGGCAUGUGUAUACCUAUGUAACAAACCUGCAUGUUCUGCACAUGUAUCCCAGAACUUAAAGUAUAAUAAUAAAAAGAGAGAUUAAAAAAAUUGGUGAAUCUGGGCAAAAUGUACACAGGAUUUUUCUGUACUGUUCUUGCAACUUUUCUACAGAUUUGAAAUGUUACAAAAUAAAAGGUAUUUUUAGAAAAAGAGUAUACAGUUGGAAGUGA
RNAcentral lists this long non-coding RNA (1168 nucleotides) under Homo sapiens (human). RNAcentral's name for it is "JUN divergent transcript". The record is from RNAcentral. Lineage: Eukaryota; Metazoa; Chordata; Mammalia; Primates; Hominidae.